AAGCGUUGUCCGGAUUUAUUGGGCGUAAAGAGCGUGUAGGCGGCUUUGCAAGUCCGUUGUGAAAACUCGAGGCUCAACCUCGAGACGCCGGUGGAAACUGCAAAGCUAGAGUCCGGAAGAGGAGAGUGGAAUUCCUGGUGUAGCGGUGAAAUGCGCAGAUAUCAGGAGGAACACCCGUGGCGAAAGCGGCUCUCUGGGACGGUACUGACGCUGAGACGCGAAAGCGUGGGGAGCAAACAGG
This 241-nucleotide ribosomal RNA is filed under the name uncultured bacterium. RNAcentral describes it as "partial 16S ribosomal RNA". It matches the Rfam family "Bacterial small subunit ribosomal RNA", at positions 536 to 776 of the family's 1533-position model. The record is from RNAcentral.